UCGGGAAUUUUGGGCAAUGGGCGAAAGCCUGACCCAGCAACGCCGCGUGAGGGAUGAAGUAUUUCGGUAUGUAAACCUCGAAAGAAUGGGAAGAAUAAAUGACGGUACCAUUUAUAAGCUCCGGCUAACUACGUGCCAGCAGCCGCGGUAAUACGUAGGGAGCAAGCGUUGUUCGGAUUUACUGGGCGUAAAGGGCGCGUAGGCGGCGCGGUAAGUCACUUGUGAAAUCUCUGAGCUUAACUCAGAACGGCCAAGUGAUACUGCUGUGCUAGAGUGCGGAAGAGGCAACCGGAAUUCUUGGUGUAGCGGUGAAAUGCGUAGAUAUCAAGAGGAACACCUGAGGCGAAGGCGGGUUGCUGGGCCGACACUGACGCUGAUGCGCGAAAGCAGGGGAGCAAACG
This 401-nucleotide ribosomal RNA is filed under the name uncultured bacterium. RNAcentral's name for it is "bacterial SSU rRNA". It matches the Rfam family "Bacterial small subunit ribosomal RNA", at positions 355 to 774 of the family's 1533-position model. The record is from RNAcentral.